RNAcentral lists this ribosomal RNA (460 nucleotides) under uncultured bacterium. Its description in RNAcentral is "partial 16S ribosomal RNA". It matches the Rfam family "Bacterial small subunit ribosomal RNA", at positions 338 to 795 of the family's 1533-position model. The record is from RNAcentral.
UCUACGGGAGGCAGCAGUGAGGAAUCUUGGGCAAUGGACGGAAGUCUGAACCAGCCAUGCCGCGUGCAGGAAGACGGCUUUAUGAGUUGUAAACUGCUUUUGUACAAGGGUAAACCUGAAUACGUGUAUUCAGCUGAAAGUACUGUACGAACAAGGAUCGGCUAACUCCGCUCCAGCAGCCGCGGUACGAGGGAGGAUCCAAGCGUUAUCCGGAUGUAUUUGGUUUAAAGGGUACGUAGGCGGAUUGAUAAGUUAGAGGUGAAAUGUCCGAGCUUAACUCGGGAACUGCCUCUAAUACUGUUGAUCUAGAGAGUAGAAGCGGAAGGCGGAAUGUAAGGUGUAGCGGUGAAAUGCUUAGAGAUCAUACAGAACACCGGUUGCGAAGGCAGCUUACCAAUCUAUAUCUGACGUUGAGGCACGAAAGCGUGGGGAGCAAACAGGAGUAGAUACCCUGGUAGUC